UAUAAAUAGCUACUCUGUAACUACCUAGUAACAACUUUUGAGAUCAAUUCCAAAUUUUCUCUCUAACUGUUUCUCCCAUUCCUGUCUCUGUUUCUCUCUCUACAAUUUCUCUUCUCCUCUCUUGCUCCGAUCAUCGUCUCGGGUGUAUCUCCGGCGAUCGCCGGAAUAUUCCCACUUCGGGCGUUCACGGAUCAUCGCUAUACACCUUGAUUGAAGACCAGGUAUCCUUCAUCGACGCCAUCGCACUCAGGAUCGG
This 256-nucleotide long non-coding RNA is filed under the name Ananas comosus (pineapple). Its description in RNAcentral is "long non-coding RNA (ACOM_LNC042520)". Lineage: Eukaryota; Viridiplantae; Streptophyta; Magnoliopsida; Poales; Bromeliaceae. The record is from RNAcentral.